AAUAGAUACCCAGGUAGUCCACGCCGUAAACGAUGAAUACUAGGUGUAGGGGUUGUCAUGACCUCUGUGCCGCCGCUAACGCAUUAAGUAUUCCGCCUGGGGAGUACGGUCGCAAGAUUAAAACUCAAAGGAAUUGACGGGGGCCCGCACAAGCAGCGGAGCAUGUGGUUUAAUUCGAAGCAACGCGAAGAACCUUACCUAGACUUGACAUCUCCUGAAUUACCCUUAAUCGGGGAAGCCCUUCGGGGCAGGAAGACAGGUGGUGCAUGGUUGUCGUCAGCUCGUGUCGUGAGAUGUUGGGUUAAGUCCCGCAACGAGCGCAACCCUUAUUGUUAGUUGCUACCAUUUAGUUGAGCACUCUAGCGAGACUGCCGUGGUUAACGCGGAGGAAGGUGGGGAUGACGUCAAAUCAUCAUGCCCCUUAUGUCUAGGGCUACACACGUGCUACAAUGGCUGGUACAGAGAGAUGCUAAACCGCGAGGUGGAGCCAAACUUCAAAAACCAGUCUCAGUUCGGAUUGUAGGCUGAAACUCGCCUA
This 538-nucleotide ribosomal RNA is filed under the name uncultured bacterium. RNAcentral's name for it is "bacterial SSU rRNA". It matches the Rfam family "Bacterial small subunit ribosomal RNA", at positions 777 to 1318 of the family's 1533-position model. The record is from RNAcentral.